CCUACGGGAUGCAGCAGUGGGGAAUAUUGCACAAUGGGCGCAAGCCUGAUGCAGCCAUGCCGCGUGUAUGAAGAAGGCCCUUGGGUUGUAAAGUACUUUCAGUCGGGAGGAAGGUGUUGAUGCUAAUAUCAUCAACGAUUGACGUUACCGACAGAAGAAGCACCGGCUAACUCCGUGCCAGCAGCCGCGGUAAUACGGAGGGUGCAAGCGUUAAUCGGAAUUACUGGGCGUAAAGCGCACGCAGGCGGUCUGUCAAGUCGGAUGUGAAAUCACCGGGCUCAACCUGGGAACUGCAUUCGAAACUGGCAGGCUAGAGACUUGUAGUGGGGGGGUAGAAUUCCAGGUGUAGCGGUGAAAUGCGUAGAGAUCUGGAGGAAUACCGGUGGCGAAGGCGGCCCCCUGGACAAAGACUGACGCUCAGGUGCGAAAGCGUGGGGAGCAAACAGGAUUAGAUACCCCCGUAGUC
Molecule: ribosomal RNA, 466 nt
Filed under: uncultured bacterium
Lineage: Bacteria
Description: bacterial SSU rRNA
Rfam family: Bacterial small subunit ribosomal RNA
Source: RNAcentral